Molecule: ribosomal RNA, 324 nt
Filed under: uncultured bacterium
Lineage: Bacteria
Description: bacterial SSU rRNA
Rfam family: Bacterial small subunit ribosomal RNA
Source: RNAcentral
UGUGGGUUAAGUCCCGCAACGAGCGCAACCCUUAUCCUUAUUUGCCAGCACGUAAUGGUGGGAACUCUAAGGAGACUGCCGGUGAUAAACCGGAGGAAGGUGGGGACGACGUCAAGUCAUCAUGGCCCUUACGAGUAGGGCUACACACGUGCUACAAUGGCGCAUACAAAGGGCUGCAAACCAGCGAUGGUAAGCGAAUCCCAUAAAGUGCGUCGUAGUCCGGAUUGGGGUCUGCAACUCGACCCCAUGAAGUCGGAAUCGCUAGUAAUCGUGAAUCAGAAUGUCACGGUGAAUACGUUCCCGGGCCUUGCACACACCGCCCGU